UAAGACCGCCCUGUGUUUACAAAAUACUCGACAUCUUUCAGGGAUUUCGCUCUCGCUUCAAGCUGUAAUCCUUGCGUCCCGCUGUGAAUUGGCGUCUCCUUCCCUUCGACUAAGUGAGUCACGGUGUUUUUCCAAAUGUCAGAGUGGAAAAGCAGUUCCAAGAACAAAAAAAACACAGAUCUACCAAUCGCUAUUCAACACUGGCACUUGGAGCAGAGCUUCCAUGUAUGUGCUCACGCCGAAUAACAGUUUCCAACCUCGUCAAACGCAACCAAAGGCUUCUUCCCUGUAGUCCAAGGCCAGAUGAGUUCAAGUCAAACACAAGGUUAGUGAAGGCUGAGUCAAUCCUUUUAAACUGCAGCUGCGGAGAGAACUACGGCUUAUAGAGGUGCAGCGCCCUCUUAAAUGAGGUACAGUGCAGUGCCCAUCCAUCCAUCUCCUGGGCUGGACCUCUACUGUCAGAAGCAACACCCAAGAUGAAGAUGAGUGUGAGAGAGAUGGGCUUCUGAGCGUCUUCCAUCCCGAUCCAUCAAUCCUAGUGGACUUCUCUAAUAACCUUUACAGAGAACUGAUGUCUGAUGGCAAAGAGGAAGGACAGGAGGAAACACAGAUCUCCUCCAGCGGGCUUGAUCUUUUUCCUCUUCCUGCUGUGUUUUUAACAGGAUGACUCGAAUAAAAGAUCGGCGACACAGUGGCCCGCGUGUUCAGACGUUCUUAAGGCCGCGGGCUUGUUUUUAAUUUGAGCUAAUAUUCGGGGUGAAGCCUGAGGGUUUGGGUGCUGUGAGCUCUCUUUUCCUUUUUGGAUAUUAUUAAAACUGGAGGUAGGGAAUCACAUCAAGGGUGCUGAGGCCCAAGCGCUGGAAUAUAUUCGCAGAACAUAAACACAAUGAGUGAAUAGAGGCUCAGACAAUAAAAGAG
This is a long non-coding RNA of Gasterosteus aculeatus aculeatus (three-spined stickleback), 918 nucleotides long. NCBI's taxonomy places the organism in Eukaryota, Metazoa, Chordata, Actinopteri, Perciformes, Gasterosteidae. The record is from Ensembl.